UGUAGUUUGUGUUCAUCACGGCCAAAUGAAAAGCAACCUUUCGAUUUGUAAAUAUUUUAGUACUGGUUGAUUAGUCACCGUGUUUAAAGAUGUUUUUAAUAAUAAUAAUAAUAAUAAUAAAUUCUGUUUGUGUUCAUGUGAGAACGAGUCAGUCCGCGGGUAGAAAAGUAGGUGAGAUCUAAACUUGCGUUAUAAGUGGGAUCUCACUCAAGUGGAAUAAAAUUUUCAAUGUCAAUAUUUUAUACCAUGCAGCUGAUCACGCCUGACCGGGACAGAUAUUUUAUUUGUAUUUGAAUUGUAAGAUAGUAUUGUAAAAUAGUAAAAUUUGGUAAAGUGCUAACAGAAAAUAAACAUUAAUAAACGUGAACAGAUACUGUUAAAAUCAUGCCAGAAGGUGCACUUUGCUUAAUUAAUUAAAACAAAAAAUAUUUUGAAGACGUCAUGAUUACAUAAUAUCGUCCCACCGAGACGGGAUAUUGGGUGUGUGAAAAACAGUGUUAAUAAACACAAAGUAAUUUCUCGCACUCAGGUGUUUGAGCUUCACGGAAAGUUGAGCUCAUAUAUUUUAUUUAAUUUAAUUCAGCAGUUUAUUUGGCACGCAUAAAAAUAGCCACACAUUAUUGUACGUAACUAGAAAUACUAACAGAA
Paramuricea clavata is the source of this 648-nucleotide non-coding RNA. Lineage: Eukaryota; Metazoa; Cnidaria; Anthozoa; Malacalcyonacea; Plexauridae. The record is from the annotation of a GenBank genome assembly.